This 589-nucleotide long non-coding RNA is filed under the name Oncorhynchus mykiss (rainbow trout). RNAcentral's name for it is "lncRNA (ENSOMYG00000050299.1)". The record is from RNAcentral. Lineage: Eukaryota; Metazoa; Chordata; Actinopteri; Salmoniformes; Salmonidae.
UGUUCUUUUCUGUAAUAUGAUCUUUUUCCAUCUCAUUCUCAGAUGAACUGAAGCUCCUCCAACCACCGUGGCUGCACCAACCACUCUGCAGGUUACCAACGUGUCCGUGGCAGGGCAGAAAUUGGACCAGGAGAUAUCAUGGACUAGGACACAGGGACAGGCUGUCUCCUUCAGCUGCAAAGAUACUUACCAGUGUACAACGUUUGUCUACUGGUACCAGAAGAAGGAGGGAGAACCUUUUACCUUGAUUCUUGACAUCCAAAAGGAUAACUGCGCUGUCGAUGCAAGUUACAACCAUCCUCAAAAAGAUGACUUCUCAGCAACAAGUAUGAAUAACAACUGUGAUCUAAAAAUCCAGUCUGUUAAAGUCUCCCAUUCUGCCACCUACUACUGUGCCUGCUGGAACCCACAGUGACAACACAUCCAUUCACCCUGUACAAAAACUCUGGUUUUAGUCAAGCUGUGAAUUUAUAAAAAUUAAAAAACAUAAUCAGAGGAACAUUUUUAGAUGUCUCUCCCAGCUGGUGUUUCAUCUCUCAUCUUCAUAAUCGACUAUAUGAUGAAAACCAUACUUCAGUAAAGAUCUGUG